Molecule: ribosomal RNA, 479 nt
Filed under: Salmonella enterica
Lineage: Bacteria; Pseudomonadati; Pseudomonadota; Gammaproteobacteria; Enterobacterales; Enterobacteriaceae
Description: partial 23S ribosomal RNA
Rfam family: Bacterial large subunit ribosomal RNA
Source: RNAcentral
UACUCCGGGGAUAACAGGCUGAUACCGCCCAAGAGUUCAUAUCGACGGCGGUGUUUGGCACCUCGAUGUCGGCUCAUCACAUCCUGGGGCUGAAGUAGGUCCCAAGGGUAUGGCUGUUCGCCAUUUAAAGUGGUACGCGAGCUGGGUUUAGAACGUCGUGAGACAGUUCGGUCCCUAUCUGCCGUGGGCGCUGGAGAACUGAGGGGGGCUGCUCCUAGUACGAGAGGACCGGAGUGGACGCAUCACUGGUGUUCGGGUUGUCAUGCCAAUGGCACUGCCCGGUAGCUAAAUGCGGAAGAGAUAAGUGCUGAAAGCAUCUAAGCACGAAACUUGCCCCGAGAUGAGUUCUCCCUGAGACUUUAGGUCUCCUGAAGGAACGUUGAAGACGACGACGUUGAUAGGCCGGGUGUGUAAGCGCAGCGAUGCGUUGAGCUAACCGGUACUAAUGAACCGUGAGGCUUAACCUUACAACGCCGAAG